UAUGGAGAGUUUGAUCCUGGCUCAGGACGAACGCUGGCGGCGUGCCUAAUACAUGCAAGUAGAACGCUGAAGGAGGAGCUUGCUCUUCUGGAUGAGUUGCGAACGGGUGAGUAACGCGUAGGUAACCUGCCUGGUAGCGGGGGAUAACUAUUGGAAACGAUAGCUAAUACCGCAUAACAUUGACUAUUGCAUGAUAGUUAAUUGAAAGGUGCAAAUGCACCACUACCAGAUGGACCUGCGUUGUAUUAGCUAGUUGGUGGGGUAACGGCUCACCAAGGCGACGAUACAUAGCCGACCUGAGAGGGUGAUCGGCCACACUGGGACUGAGACACGGCCCAGACUCCUACGGGAGGCAGCAGUAGGGAAUCUUCCGCAAUGGGCGAAAGCCUGACGGAGCAACGCCGCGUGAGUGAUGAAGGUCUUCGGAUCGUAAAACUCUGUUAUUAGGGAAGAACAAAUGUGUAAGUAACUAUGCACGUCUUGACGGUACCUAAUCAGAAAGCCACGGCUAACUACGUGCCAGCAGCCGCGGUAAUACGUAGGGUGCGAGCGUUAUCCGGAAUUAUUGGGCGUAAAGAGCUCGUAGGUGGUUUGUCGCGUCUGUGAAAUCCCGGGGCUUAACUUCGGGCGUGCAUCGGGUACGGGCAGGCUAGAGUGCUGUAGGGGAGACUGGAAUUCCUGGUGUAGCGGUGGAAUGCGCAGAUAUCAGGAGGAACACCGAUGGCGAAGGCAGGUCUCUGGGCUGUAACUGACGCUGAGGAGCGAAAGCAUGGGGAGCGAACAGGAUUAGAUACCCUGGUAGUCCACGCCGUAAACGAUGAGUGCUAGGUGUUGGGUCCUUUCCGGGACUCAGUGCCGCAGCUAACGCAUUAAGCACUCCGCCUGGGGAGUACGACCGCAAGGUUGAAACUCAAAGGAAUUGACGGGGGCCCGCACAAGCGGUGGAGCAUGUGGUUUAAUUCGAAACAACGCGAAGAACCUUACCAGGUCUUGACAUCCCUCUGACCGCUCUAGAGAUAGAGUUUUCCUUCGGGACAGAGGUGACAGGUGGUGCAUGGUUGU
RNAcentral lists this ribosomal RNA (1062 nucleotides) under Aurantiochytrium limacinum. RNAcentral describes it as "partial Bacterial small subunit ribosomal RNA". It matches the Rfam family "Bacterial small subunit ribosomal RNA", at positions 1 to 1052 of the family's 1533-position model. The record is from RNAcentral. Lineage: Eukaryota; Bigyra; Thraustochytrida; Thraustochytriidae.